Molecule: non-coding RNA, 31 nt
Filed under: Rattus norvegicus (Norway rat)
Lineage: Eukaryota; Metazoa; Chordata; Mammalia; Rodentia; Muridae
Source: RNAcentral
UGUCUGUCUAAUGGAAUUUCAUUGAAUAGGA